Molecule: long non-coding RNA, 219 nt
Filed under: Mytilus galloprovincialis (Mediterranean mussel)
Lineage: Eukaryota; Metazoa; Mollusca; Bivalvia; Mytilida; Mytilidae
Source: RNAcentral
CCCAUGUGAAAAUUUAAAAUUGUUUCUAUUAAUAAAAUUAACGGUACCAAUUUUGUUGCACCAGAUGCGCAUUUCGACAAUACAUGUCUCUUAAGUGAUGCUCGUGGCCAAAAUAUUUAAAAUCCAAAGCUUAUAUAAAAGAUGAAGAGCUAUAAUCCAAAAGGUCCAAAAAGUAUAGCCAAAUCCGUGAAAGGAAUCAGAGCUUUGCAUGAGGGAGAU